AUUGGACGCUGGCGGCAUGCUUUACACAUGCAAGUCGAACGGUGACAGGUUAAGCUGACGAGUGGCGAACGGGUGAGUAAUGCAUCGGAACGUGCCCGGUCGUGGGGGAUAACGCAGCGAAAGCUGCGCUAAUACCGCAUACGAUCUAAGGAUGAAAGCGGGGGACCGUAAGGCCUCGCGCGACCGGAGCGGCCGAUGUCAGAUUGGGUAGGUGGUGGGGUAAAGGCUCACCAAGCCAAAGAUCUGUAGCUGGUCGGAGAGGACGACCAGCCACACUGCGACUGAUGCACGGCCCAGCCGCCUACGGGAGGCAGCAGUGGGGAAUUUUGGACAAUGGGCGAAAGCCUGAUCCAGCAAUGCCGGGUGCAGGAAGAAGGCCUUCGGGUUGUAAACUGCUUUUGUACGGAGCGAAAAGGUCUUCUCUAAUACAGGGGGCUCAUGACGGUACCGUAAGAAUAAGCACCGGCUAACUACGUGCCAGCCGCCGCCGUAA
This 493-nucleotide ribosomal RNA is filed under the name uncultured bacterium. Its description in RNAcentral is "partial 16S ribosomal RNA". It matches the Rfam family "Bacterial small subunit ribosomal RNA", at positions 29 to 523 of the family's 1533-position model. The record is from RNAcentral.